This 497-nucleotide ribosomal RNA is filed under the name uncultured bacterium. RNAcentral's name for it is "partial 16S ribosomal RNA". It matches the Rfam family "Bacterial small subunit ribosomal RNA", at positions 28 to 507 of the family's 1533-position model. The record is from RNAcentral.
GAUGAACGCUGGCGGCGUGCCUAAUACAUGCAAGUCGAGCGAACAGACGAGGAGCUUGCUCCUCUGACGUUAGCGGCGGACGGGUGAGUAACACGUGGAUAACCUACCUAUAAGACUGGGAUAACUUCGGGAAACCGGAGCUAAUACCGGAUAAUAUAUUGAACCGCAUGGUUCAAUAGUGAAAGACGGUUUUGCUGUCACUUAUAGAUGGAUCCGCGCCGCAUUAGCUAGUUGGUAAGGUAACGGCUUACCAAGGCGACGAUGCGUAGCCGACCUGAGAGGGGGAGGGCCCACAUGGAAAGGGAGACAGGCCCAAGACUCCGGGGGGGGGGAGAGGGGGGGAUUUUUCGGAAGGGGGGAAAGGCCGGCGGAGGAAAGGCGGGGGGAGGAAUGAAGUUCUGCGGAUCUAAAAACUUUGUUAUGGGGGAAAAAAAAAUGUGUAAGUAAUUAGGCGCGUCUUGACGGUACCUAAUAAAAAAGCCAGGGCUAACUACGUG